Molecule: long non-coding RNA, 503 nt
Organism: Hibiscus syriacus
Lineage: Eukaryota; Viridiplantae; Streptophyta; Magnoliopsida; Malvales; Malvaceae
Exons: 4
Source: RefSeq, a predicted model, not a curated record
UUUGUUUUCGUUUCCCUCUCUAGUGUUCUUUUUUUCUUCUUCUUGAAUUUCAUCGACGAUAAAUAGCUUAAAAACUACACAAAAUCGGAGGAAAUUCAGGAGUCAAAGAAACUAGAGAAUUAAUAAUAUUUUUUGAGCUAAUAAAAUGAUAAUGGGAAAUGAAUCUCGGAGAUUGCUUCUUCUCGUAAUUUUUCUCUUGACGAUUCAACUUCGAGUUAACCCAGUCUUCGGGAUAUGCGAGCACAGCUUCAUUGACAGCUACAAGCUCUACAACUUUACCUUGGCUUCUCCUCUGCCUAGUUUCCCUCACGGCGUCCUCAUGCGAAGACGGGUUUUACAAGGUGUCAGUGAAUGAUACUGUGCUCUGGUUUCAGCUUUGUGGUGGAAUGAUUUUUAACCAUGAUCCACCUAGAUGUGCUGAGUGCUCGGACUGUGGAGGCCCAUCACAUUGUGGAACGGAAUGUAGUGCACUGGUGUCUGAACGUUCUGGAGGUUAAAUAUUU